Long non-coding RNA from Pollicipes pollicipes, 191 nucleotides. RefSeq lists it as uncharacterized. The transcript has 3 exons. The record is from RefSeq and is a predicted model, not a curated record. NCBI's taxonomy places the organism in Eukaryota, Metazoa, Arthropoda, Thecostraca, Pollicipedomorpha, Pollicipedidae.
CCCCCCCCCCCCUCCCCCCAGCUCGUCUCCGUCUUCAGACCGCCUCCCGGGCCUAUGGACUGCGAGCCGGCCGCCGAAGAAUGGCCACCGCUGCCCAGCCUGUGUCUCCUCGACGACUACCUGCCUAUGGAAUAUGAGCCGGCUGCUGACGAACGGCCGCCGCCGUCCACCUGGUCGCCCCCGUGUUUGAC